RNAcentral lists this ribosomal RNA (347 nucleotides) under uncultured bacterium. RNAcentral describes it as "partial 16S ribosomal RNA". It matches the Rfam family "Bacterial small subunit ribosomal RNA", at positions 338 to 699 of the family's 1533-position model. The record is from RNAcentral.
CCUACGGGUGGCAGCAGUGGGGAAUAUUGGUCAAUGGGCGCAAGCCUGACCCAGCAACGCCGCGUGAAGGAAGAAGGCUUUCUGGUUGUAAACUUCUUUUUUCAGGGACGAAGCCAGUGACGGUACCUGCUGAAUAAGCCACGGCUAACUACGUGCCAGCAGCCGCUGUAAUACGUAGGUGGCAAGCGUUAUGCGGAUUUACUGGGUGUAAAGAUCGUGUAGGCGGGAAAGCAAGUCAGAUGUGAAAACCAUGGGCUCAACCUGUGCCCUGCAUUUGAAACUGUUUUGCUUGAGUACUGGUGCGGCAGACGGAAUGCAUGGUGUAGCGGUGAAAUGCGUAGAUAUUA